UGUGUUUUUCCAUUCUAUGUAUCAUAUAGGAAGAAGUUAUUCAUUUCACUAUUGUUUUAUUUUCACAUCUUUUUUCACAUGAUCUGUUGUAACAGUAGAUUGCUUCCCUUUGAGCUUGUAAGUGCUAUUGGUUAAUAAUAGGUAAAUAACCAUUCAGAACUAGAUCACAGAUAAACAGAUCAUAUGUUUACUACAGAUUAAGUAUGUUCCAUUUGAUAAAAUGGAUGACUAUCAGAUUUCAAAAUAUCAAAUGGGGAGAUAGGUCUGAUAGUCAUGAAGUAGUUCUAAUAGAUGUAAAUUAUUAAUACUGGAUUAACAGAAUUUUUUGUCAAUAUAAGUAAACUAAUAGGUUAAUAUCUAGGUUGAGUCCAGGCAAGGUCUCUACUGUAGUUGCAAUUGAGAAGGUUGGGUCUGCUAUGGCUAUUAAAUACCUGUCUUUCUCAGCUUCUGAAGAUGGAUGUAAUUAUUUGUGAUGAUGGAGAGAGUUAAAAAUUGCUAUCUAAUAUUGUUUUGAUUUAUUAGAGAUGGGAAAGCUAAUUUCUCCAGGUGUUUAUCCUAUCAGAAUUAUCUCUCUUGAAAAAUCUUGCCCAGUACUAUGUUUAUUUGCAAUCUAUGGAUCAAACCGAGAGGUAGUCAAAAGGCAAUUGAGUAAUCUAAAACAAGAAAUAAACCAGAUUAAAUUCUGAAGGAUGCAAAGAGAAACAAGGUCAAGUUGAACGCCCAAGGACUUAGUGAGUCAUGGCACAGGAUGCAAGAUGCUUGAUCAUAAAGUACAAAAUGUACAGAUUUCGUUUCUAUAACAUCUUUGUUCUUGAACAGAGGCUUUUAUGUAGGAAGAGGAUAAUCUAAAGUCACUAAUUUAUUAACUGCUAAAGGAGUUUAAGUCUUCAAGGGAAAUUCUCAAAGCAGUUGUAAUUUCCAAGAAACUUCUGCUUGGAUUUUGAUAUUCUUGCUAUGUUCUCUGUCUCCAAUCUUUAACACCAAUGUGCCUCAAUUUUUCUGGCAAAAAGGAACUCAUUGAUUCAACAGCCUCUCUUUCCUUCCUCUCUACUGAGGACUCAGUUCAAAGAUUCAGAAAUGGCUAUCACAAUCUAGAGUUCCAUUUUUUUGUAUUACUGUGGUCUGCAUUCUCAUACUUGAAAGUGCCAAGAGAAGAACCUGCAUCUGAACGUAUUCUCUUCUAAUAGGAGCCAGGGACUCCAAUGGCUUUCUACAACAGUAAAAGAACUACAGAACAACUAAAGAAGGUGAUAAUGAUGAACAAGUCAAAACUUUAAGAAAGUAGUUUGGUUAGAUGCUUGGUGGCUUACUACAAGAGAUAACCAAA
Molecule: non-coding RNA, 1327 nt
Organism: Notechis scutatus (mainland tiger snake)
Lineage: Eukaryota; Metazoa; Chordata; Lepidosauria; Squamata; Elapidae
Source: RefSeq, a predicted model, not a curated record